RNAcentral lists this ribosomal RNA (117 nucleotides) under Periophthalmus magnuspinnatus. The record is from RNAcentral. Lineage: Eukaryota; Metazoa; Chordata; Actinopteri; Gobiiformes; Gobiidae.
UGGUUUAGUCCUAUCAAAGCCUUGUCAGAGCUUGAUGUCACAUCUCAGAAGCUAAGCAGGGACGGACUUGGUUAAUACUUAAAUGGGAGACUGCUGGAAUACCUGGUGCCACAGUGU